RNAcentral lists this ribosomal RNA (456 nucleotides) under uncultured Gammaproteobacteria bacterium. RNAcentral describes it as "bacterial SSU rRNA". It matches the Rfam family "Bacterial small subunit ribosomal RNA", at positions 1069 to 1533 of the family's 1533-position model. The record is from RNAcentral. Lineage: Bacteria; Pseudomonadati; Pseudomonadota; Gammaproteobacteria.
GAAUUGUGUAGUCCGCACGAGCGCACCCCGCCCUAUGAUGCCAGCGGGUUAUGCCGGGGACUCAUGGGGAACUGCCGGUGAUAAACCGGAGGAAGGUGGGGACGACGUCAAGUCAUCAUGGCCCUUACGCCCAGGGCUACACACGUGCUACAAUGGCCGGUACAAAGGGCUGCAAUCCCGCGAGGGGGAGCGAAUCCCAAAAAGCCGGUCUAAGUUCGGAUUGUAGUCUGCAACUCGACUGCAUGAAGUCGGAAUCGCUAGUAAUCGUGUAUCAGCAACGACACGGUGAAUACGUUCCCGGGCCUUGUACACACCGCCCGUCAAGCCAUGGAAGCCGGGAGUGCCCGAAGUCCGUGAUCCAACUUCGUGAGGAAGCGGCCGAAGGUAAGUUCGGUGACUGGGGCUAAGUCGUAACAAGGUAGCCGUAGGGGAACCUGCGGCUGGAUCACCUCCUUU